GAGUUUGAUCCUGGCUCAUGAUAAACGCUGGCGGCGUGCUUUAUGCAUGCAAGUCCAACGGUCUUGAUUUAUCAAGAUACUGGCUAACGGGUGACUAACGCGUAAUCAACCUGCCCCUAAGUAGGGGAUAGCUCUGAAAAAUUGUAGCUAAUACCGUAUGUGGUGGUGGGGGUAAUGCUCCAUCACUAAAGCCUUCGGGUGCUUGGGGAGGGGCUUGCGUCCGAUUAGCUAGUUGGUAAGGUAACGGCUUACCAAGGCGAUGAUCGGUAGCUGGUUUGAGAGGAUGAUCAGCCACACUGGGACUGAGACACGGCCCGACUCCUACGGGAGGCAGCAGCAAGGAAUAUUGUGCAAUGGGCGAAAGCCUGACACAGCGACGCCGCGUGGGGGAUGAAGGCUUUCGGGUUGUAAACCCCUUUUCCCAGAGAAGAAUAAUGACCGUACCUGGGGAAUAAAUCUUGGCUAACUACCUGCCGUCAGCCGCGGUAAGACAUAGAAGGAUUACGUUGUCCGGAUUUAUUGGGCGUAAAGAGGGCGUAGGCGGUUCUUCAAGUCGGAUGUAAAAUCUCCCGGCUUAACUGGGACAGACCAUUCGAUACUGUUGGGCUAGAGUGCAGUAGGGGGAGGUGGAAUUCCCGGUGUAGUGGUGAAAUGCGUAGAUAUCGGGAGGAAUGCCAGUGGCGAAGGCGGUCUCCUGCGCUGAUACUGACGCUGACGCCCGGAAGCGUGGGGGAGCGAACAGGACUAUAUAUCCUGAUACUCUACGCACUAAACGAUGGACACCACGUAUGGGGAGUAUCUACCCUCUCCGUGUCCAAGUUAACGCUUUACGUGUCCCGCCUGGGGAUUAAGGUCGCAGGACUAAAACUCACAGGAAUUGACGGGGGUCCCGCCAAAAACUUCGGAGCGUGUGCCUUUAGUCCUAUGCAACGCCGCAUAACCUUUACCACGGCCUGGCCAUGUCGGACGUAGCGAACCCGAAAAGGAAUCGACCUGUUCAGUCUAGGAGCCGCUCGCAGGUGCUGCAUGACUGUCGACAGCCUCGUGGCCGUG
This 1053-nucleotide ribosomal RNA is filed under the name uncultured bacterium. RNAcentral's name for it is "bacterial SSU rRNA". It matches the Rfam family "Bacterial small subunit ribosomal RNA", at positions 9 to 1069 of the family's 1533-position model. The record is from RNAcentral.